Molecule: long non-coding RNA, 1385 nt
Filed under: Anser brachyrhynchus (Pink-footed goose)
Lineage: Eukaryota; Metazoa; Chordata; Aves; Anseriformes; Anatidae
Description: lncRNA (ENSABRG00000006479.1)
Source: RNAcentral
GCUGCUGCUAACACUUUACUCUAUGCUUUAAAGGACAGACGCACAAGUUAACCAAGCAUUACUCGAGUCACAUCAUGCUCAGGUUGUGAAUAGACAAAAAGACACAUUAAGAUGAAGAGGUAAGCUUUGGCUAGGCAGCAUGCUGGUGGCUCCCAGCAACAACAAUGCUGCUCCUUGCCUCCAUUCUCUGCAGCCCUGAACUACUCCUGGUGUAACCACCAUAAACAGCCUUUAAAAAGCCGUCCUAAAGGCAAUAGGAUCCAAAGGCUGAUUUUUUUUUACAGUAGUAAUUCUUGAAAUUAGGUUGUUUUUAAGUUUUGUGGAUUGGUUUUUCCCUCUCAAAGACUGAAGCAGACUGGUGUCAGAGAAGCUUGAAUUACUGAAACCUGGCACAACAAAAAUUAUAUCCACCACCAUCUCUGCAGCUGAAAGCCCUGUACUGGGUUUAACUUACCGACUCCAGUGCCUGCACUGCCCACACGGACAUUGGCUUAAACAUCAGUAGAAGACAGCUUCUGCCAGGGACCUGCAAGCUGGAGCUGGAAAGGAAGCCAGAAAACGUGUUAACUACUGGGAAAUCUGCAACAUCCAAACUGGAAAUUCUGCAGAAAGCCAAUCCGUUUAAAAAGACUUGAUCUGUACAUUAUCAGCAUUUAUCUUCCUCCAAAUACCAUGAUUAAAGAAACUGAAAACUCUAUUAGUAUUUCUGUAAUGCAAUUUAAAACUUGAUUCCUCUCUGCGUUUUACAGGUAUUAGAUAGUACAAUUGCCUUUCACACUGCAUGGAGUUGAAGCACUAGCUUUACAAAUAGACACAAAGCCUGAGCAUCUGAAAACGAAGUUAAUAAUGUGUUUUCCCUAGCCUAAUUCCUUUACCUAUAUAUCUUCAGAAUAACUGAUGAACAAAUAAGCUGCAGGUAAAUUAGCAGGUAUUCAAUUUAUUAGUACAUUGCAGCUUCUGUAUACUUUAUCUUAGUCUUCAUUUUAUUUUGCUGACAGCAUCCUAUAACAGAAUGCAGCUUAAUUGUGCUCAGCAGGACUUUACUUCUGUGAAACUCUGAUUUUGGACCACUAAAUGUAUGAAUUAAAUCUAAACAUAGCUAACUCUACUAUUUCCAGUGCUUAAUUUAAUAGCCUAUGUUACAUUAUAGUUAUAUUCAAAAAGAAAUGUAAUCACAAAAUGACUUGUAGAUGGUCACAGUUGUCUUCAUAAUGAGCAUCCAAAUAACUAGCAAAAAUUGAUCGUGCAGUUUCCAUGUCUUGGGAACCAGUGUACAAUAUAUGAACUCUUUGUAAAUCUGUGUCAGUCUGCAAACUAUGUUUUGACUGCACAGCUCAUCUUUGCCAUCUCCCAUCCUGAACUACAGUUUACAAGGGUGACAGGAG